RNAcentral lists this ribosomal RNA (983 nucleotides) under Arthrobacter sp. A10. Its description in RNAcentral is "bacterial SSU rRNA". The stretch from base 1 to 718 matches the Rfam family "Bacterial small subunit ribosomal RNA". Lineage: Bacteria; Bacillati; Actinomycetota; Actinomycetes; Micrococcales; Micrococcaceae. The record is from RNAcentral.
AUCGGCACGCGGUCCCAUGCAGGUCGAACGAUGAAGCCCAGCUUGCUGGGUGGAUUAGUGGCGAACGGGUGAGUAACACGUGAGUAACCUGCCCCUGACUCUGGGAUAAGCCCGGGAAACUGGGUCUAAUACCGGAUAUGACUUUUGACCGCAUGGUUGAGGGUGGAAAGAUUUAUCGGUUGGGGAUGGACUCGCGGCCUAUCAGCUUGUUGGUGAGGUAAUGGCUCACCAAGGCGACGACGGGUAGCCGGCCUGAGAGGGUGACCGGCCACACUGGGACUGAGACACGGCCCAGACUCCUACGGGAGGCAGCAGUGGGGAAUAUUGCACAAGGGGCGCAAGCCUGAUGCAGCGACGCCGCGUGAGGGAUGACGGCCUUCGGGUUGUAAACCUCUUUCAGUAGGGAAGAAGCGAAAGUGACGGUACCUGGAGAAGAAGCGCCGGCUAACUACGUGCCAGCAGCCGCGGUAAUACGUAGGGCGCAAGCGUUAUCCGGAUUUAUUGGGCGUAAAGAGCUCGUAGGCGGUUUGUCGCGUCUAUCGUGAAAGUCCGACGGUCGGCCUCGGAUCUGCGGGGGCUACUGCCGCACGAACCGUGAUGUAUCGCAUACUCCCUAUCGAAAGAGGUUUACAAACAUGAAGGCCAUAUCUCCCUCAAGCGGCGUCGCUGCAUCAGGCUCUGCUGCCCAUUGUGCUGAUAUUCGCCGACUGCAGCCUCCCGUAAGAGUCUGGGACUGUGUCUCAGUGCCCAGUGUGGCCGGUCACCCUCUCACGCCGGCUACCCGUCGUCUCCAUGGUGAGCCAUUACCUCACCAACAAGCUGAUAGGCCGCGAGUCCAUCCCCAACCGAUAAAUCUUUCCACCCCUCGACCAUUGCGGUCAAAAGUCAUAUCCGGUAUUAGACCCAGUUUCCUCGGGCGUUAUCCCAGAGUCAGGUGCAGGUUGACUCCACGUGGUUGACUCACCCGCUUCCGCCGACUAAUC